This 199-nucleotide unclassified non-coding RNA is filed under the name Jurinea radians. RNAcentral's name for it is "ITS2". The record is from RNAcentral. Lineage: Eukaryota; Viridiplantae; Streptophyta; Magnoliopsida; Asterales; Asteraceae.
CGCGUCGCCCCCGACCACGCCUCCCUUAUGGGGAUGGGGUUGUGUCGGGGGCGRAGACUGGUCUCCCGUGCCCAUGGUGYGGUUGGCCUAAAAAGGAGUCCCCUUUGACGGACGCACGGCUAGUGGUGGUUGUCAAGGCCUUCGUAACGAGCCGUGCGGAUGCAAGGAGAUCACUCUAAAAAGACCCCAACGUGCUGUC